This 700-nucleotide ribosomal RNA is filed under the name uncultured bacterium. RNAcentral's name for it is "bacterial SSU rRNA". It matches the Rfam family "Bacterial small subunit ribosomal RNA", at positions 94 to 792 of the family's 1533-position model. The record is from RNAcentral.
ACCGGCAAACGGGUGCGGAACACGUACGCAACCUCCCUCUAACUGGAAGAUAGCCCACCGAAAGGUGGAUUAAUACUCCAUAAUAUAUUGAAGUGGCAUCACUUUAAUAUUAAAGCUCCGGCGGUAAGAGAUGGGCGUGCGUCUGAUUAGGUAGUUGGCGGGGUAACGGCCCACCAAGCCUGCGAUCAGUAGCUGAUGUGAGAGCAUGAUCAGCCACACGGGCACUGAGACACGGGCCCGACUCCUACGGGAGGCAGCAGUAAGGAAUAUUGGUCAAUGGACGCAAGUCUGAACCAGCCAUGCCGCGUGGAGGAUGAAGGUCCUCUGGAUUGUAAACUUCUUUUCUCUGGGACGAAACCCCCGAUUUCCAUCGGGCCUGACGGUACCAGAGGAAUAAGCACCGGCUAACUCCGUGCCAGCAGCCGCGGUAAUACGGAGGGUGCAAGCGUUAUCCGGAUUCACUGGGUUUAAAGGGUGCGUAGGCGGGUUUGUAAGUCAGUGGUGAAAUCCCCGAGCUUAACUUGGGAACUGCCAUUGAUACUGCAGAUCUUGAAUUUUCUGGAGGUAAGCGGAAUAUGUCAUGUAGCGGUGAAAUGCUUAGAUAUGACAUAGAACACCCAUUGCGAAGGCAGCUUACUACGGGAAUAUUGACGCUGAGGCACGAAAGCGUGGGGAUCAAACAGGAUUAGAUACCCUGGUA